CAUAAGCAGGAGUUACAUACAUACUUACAUAAUUGUGGUAGCCUACAGGAAAAGACACAUUUAAAAAUUCUGCUACAUUAUAGUUACUUUGAACUGCUUUCCACGCCCCCUCUGGCUGCAUUGCUAUGGAGAAUAAAGACAGAAGCUUUUAAUUUCAAUCAGAAAACAGUGUUCAGGUAAAACAUGUGCUCUCUGCAUUCCUCUGGAGGAUAUACAAGCACUCCAAACCCACAACAAUAAUGCCCCUGGGGGGCUUUCCAGUUAAUUAGCAUCACCUUGAUCUGCAUUGACCCCUCCUCUUAUCCUGUCACUGCAUCAUAAGGUAUAGUUCGAGCAAACCUGAGCUCUCUGCAGAGUGCACAGAGGCAGCAUGUAUUCCAGCUGAUGCCAUGAGGAGGGUUUGUGACUGCCAUCCACAUAGUUUUACGCUUCAAGGGAAAUAUUCUGGACGGGAGUUCCUACAGUGGGCUCAUCAGUCCUCAGCCUCGGCAGACUGGUGCACAUCCCUGCAGAUCCUAUACGUCCACCGAGGACCCAUCAGAAAGCAGGCAGCGCCUAAGUGGCGAAGUGUGUCUACAUUCCUCUGGAGUUAAACUGGUCACCAUGAAGCACCAAUCAAUCUCCUGCUGGUUGAGCCAACUGGGACUGCCACAGUACUGCAUGGUGUUAGAGCAGGAAUAUGAUGGUGUAGAGGACAUCCUGCAUCUGUCGGAGUAUGACCUCUUGGAGCUGGGGGUCCACAAUCACCUCCACCGCCUGCAUCUGCUCACUUCCCUGCGCCUCCUCCAAGAGCGAGAAAGGAGGAGAGGUAAUGUCCCACCACAGGACCACAUCCAUGAUGACCAGGUUGUCCCCAAAUUUGACU
RNAcentral lists this long non-coding RNA (865 nucleotides) under Oryzias javanicus (javanese ricefish). RNAcentral's name for it is "lncRNA (ENSOJAG00000003863.1)". The record is from RNAcentral. Lineage: Eukaryota; Metazoa; Chordata; Actinopteri; Beloniformes; Adrianichthyidae.